This 1361-nucleotide ribosomal RNA is filed under the name Curtobacterium oceanosedimentum. Its description in RNAcentral is "bacterial SSU rRNA". It matches the Rfam family "Bacterial small subunit ribosomal RNA", at positions 59 to 1431 of the family's 1533-position model. The record is from RNAcentral. Lineage: Bacteria; Bacillati; Actinomycetota; Actinomycetes; Micrococcales; Microbacteriaceae.
CAGUCGAACGAUGAUGCCCAGCUUGCUGGGUGGAUUAGUGGCGAACGGGUGAGUAACACGUGAGUAACCUGCCCCUGACUCUGGGAUAAGCGUUGGAAACGACGUCUAAUACUGGAUAUGACUGCCGGCCGCAUGGUCUGGUGGUGGAAAGAUUUUUUGGUUGGGGAUGGACUCGCGGCCUAUCAGCUUGUUGGUGAGGUAAUGGCUCACCAAGGCGACGACGGGUAGCCGGCCUGAGAGGGUGACCGGCCACACUGGGACUGAGACACGGCCCAGACUCCUACGGGAGGCAGCAGUGGGGAAUAUUGCACAAUGGGCGAAAGCCUGAUGCAGCAACGCCGCGUGAGGGAUGACGGCCUUCGGGUUGUAAACCUCUUUUAGUAGGGAAGAAGCGAAAGUGACGGUACCUGCAGAAAAAGCACCGGCUAACUACGUGCCAGCAGCCGCGGUAAUACGUAGGGUGCAAGCGUUGUCCGGAAUUAUUGGGCGUAAAGAGCUCGUAGGCGGUUUGUCGCGUCUGCUGUGAAAUCCCGAGGCUCAACCUCGGGCUUGCAGUGGGUACGGGCAGACUAGAGUGCGGUAGGGGAGAUUGGAAUUCCUGGUGUAGCGGUGGAAUGCGCAGAUAUCAGGAGGAACACCGAUGGCGAAGGCAGAUCUCUGGGCCGUAACUGACGCUGAGGAGCGAAAGCGUGGGGAGCGAACAGGAUUAGAUACCCUGGUAGUCCACGCCGUAAACGUUGGGCGCUAGAUGUAGGGACCUUUCCACGGUUUCUGUGUCGUAGCUAACGCAUUAAGCGCCCCGCCUGGGGAGUACGGCCGCAAGGCUAAAACUCAAAGGAAUUGACGGGGGCCCGCACAAGCGGCGGAGCAUGCGGAUUAAUUCGAUGCAACGCGAAGAACCUUACCAAGGCUUGACAUACACCGGAAACGGCCAGAGAUGGUCGCCCCCUUGUGGUCGGUGUACAGGUGGUGCAUGGUUGUCGUCAGCUCGUGUCGUGAGAUGUUGGGUUAAGUCCCGCAACGAGCGCAACCCUCGUUCUAUGUUGCCAGCGCGUUAUGGCGGGGACUCAUAGGAGACUGCCGGGGUCAACUCGGAGGAAGGUGGGGAUGACGUCAAAUCAUCAUGCCCCUUAUGUCUUGGGCUUCACGCAUGCUACAAUGGCCGGUACAAAGGGCUGCGAUACCGUAAGGUGGAGCGAAUCCCAAAAAGCCGGUCUCAGUUCGGAUUGAGGUCUGCAACUCGACCUCAUGAAGUCGGAGUCGCUAGUAAUCGCAGAUCAGCAACGCUGCGGUGAAUACGUUCCCGGGCCUUGUACACACCGCCCGUCAAGUCAUGAAAGUCGGUAACACCCGAAGCCGGU